RNAcentral lists this ribosomal RNA (399 nucleotides) under Triticum aestivum (bread wheat). Its description in RNAcentral is "partial small subunit ribosomal RNA". The record is from RNAcentral. Lineage: Eukaryota; Viridiplantae; Streptophyta; Magnoliopsida; Poales; Poaceae.
AUGGGAGCAACAGGCGCAGUCUGCCGUGAUGGGGAAGGAUCAUAUCUUGGGUCUUCCUUGUUGGCAGUACAUGGUCUUCAAAACCCGGCCAUAUUGGAAGCUCUCGCAUGUAGGGAAGCGAUUGCUCUUGCAUAAGAUUUGGGGAUGCAGAAUAUUCAAGUGGCUUCGGACUGCCAGUAAAGUAUAAGACAUAUUCACCAAGGUGUAGGAGGAGAUGAUGGAGGGGUUAUUAAAGAGAUUUUAGAAAGCCUCAAAACUUUCUCAUCGUGUAAUUUUUCUUUCGAACCUCAAACUUCCAAUGUUGAUGCUCAUAGGAUUACUAGGUUUGGUGUUUCUCUACCUCAAGGGCGGCACCUUUGGCUAGGAUCUCCUCAUGACACUAGUACAACGAGCUCCUAA